AAACCUACGGGACGCAGCAGUGGGGAAUAUUGCGCAAUGGGCGAAAGCCUGACGCAGCGACGCCGCGUGAGGGAUGAAGGUCUUCGGAUCGUAAACCUCUGUCAGCAGGGAAGAACGGUCACUGUGCUAAUCAGCAGUGAAUUGACGGUACCUGCAAAGGAAGCACCGGCUAACUCCGUGCCAGCAGCCGCGGUAAUACGGAGGGUGCGAGCGCUAAUCGGAAUUACUGGGCGUAAAGCGCUCGUAGGCGGUAUGUCAAGGCAAGGGUGAAAUCCCCGCGCUCAAAGUUGGAA
This 293-nucleotide ribosomal RNA is filed under the name uncultured bacterium. Its description in RNAcentral is "partial 16S ribosomal RNA". It matches the Rfam family "Bacterial small subunit ribosomal RNA", at positions 335 to 620 of the family's 1533-position model. The record is from RNAcentral.